UGAAUACGAGACGCUAAGGCGUCGAAGUAGUGUAUGUCAUACUUCCAAGAAAAGCUUGCACUGUCAUAGAUAAAAAACGCCUGUACCAUAACCGACACAGGUGGGUAGGUAGAGUAUACUAAGGGGCGCGAGAUAACUCUCUCUAAGGAACUCGGCAAAAUAACUCCGUAACUUCGGGAGAAGGAGUGCCUUAUUCGUAAGGUUGCAAUAACAAGAUCCAAGCAACUGUUUAUCAAAAACACAGGCCUCCGCUAAGUCGUAAGACGAUGUAUGGGGGCUGACGCCUGCCCAGUGCCAGAAGGUUAAAGAAGUUGGUUAGCAAUUGCGAAGCUGAUAACUGAAGCCCUGGUGAACGGCGGCCGUAACGAUAACGGUCCUAAGGUAGCGAAAUUCCUUGUCGGGUAAGUUCCGACCCGCACGAAAGGCGUAAUGAUUUGGAUACUGUCUCGGAGAGGGGCUCGGUGAAAUAGACUUGUCUGUGAAGAUGCGGACUACCUGCACCAGGACAGAAAGACCCUAUGAAGCUUUACUGUAACUUGAAAUUGAAAUUGGACUUUAUUCGCGCAGUAUAGGUGGGAGGCGUUGAUUAUAAUCUUGUGGGAUUAUUGGAGCCAUCAGUGAGAUACCACUCUUGUAAUGUUAGAUUUCUAACUUUGAAUCAUUAUCUGGUCAAAGAACAGUUUCAGGCGGGCAGUUUGACUGGGGCGGUCGCCUCCUAAACGGUAACGGAGGCGUACAAAGGUUUCCUCUGAACGGUUAGAAAUCGUAUCUAGAGUGUAAAGGCAUAAGGAAGCUUGACUGUGAGACCUACAAGUCGAGCAGGGACGAAAGUCGGUCUUAGUGAUCUGACGGUACUGAGUGGAAAGGCCGUCACUCAACGGAUAAAAGUUACUCUAAGGAUAACAGGCUGAUCUCCCCCAAGAGUUCACAUCGACGGGGAGGUUUGGCACCUCGAUGUCGGCUCAUCGCAUCCUGGGGCGGUAGUACGUCCCAAGGGUUGGGCUGUUCGCCCAUGAAAGCGGUACGCGAGCUGGGUUCAGAACGUCGUGAGACAGUUCGGUCCAUAUCCGGUGUAGGCGUUAGAAUAUUGAGAGGAGCCUUCUUUAGUACGAGAGGACCGAGAAGGACAUACCUCUGGUGUACCAGUUAUCGUGCCAACGGUAAACGCUGGGUAGCUAUGUAUGGAGUGGAUAACCGCUGAAAGCAUCUAAGUGGGAAGCCCACCUCAAGAUAAGUAUUCUCAUC
This 1245-nucleotide ribosomal RNA is filed under the name metagenome. RNAcentral describes it as "bacterial LSU rRNA". It matches the Rfam family "Bacterial large subunit ribosomal RNA", at positions 1564 to 2818 of the family's 2925-position model. The record is from RNAcentral.